Molecule: unclassified non-coding RNA, 276 nt
Filed under: Hevea brasiliensis (rubber tree)
Lineage: Eukaryota; Viridiplantae; Streptophyta; Magnoliopsida; Malpighiales; Euphorbiaceae
Source: RNAcentral
GCACUAUCCAUGAGGAUCAUUUCGUAUGAUGUGAGGAGGACAUCAAAUUUUAUUCUAUCUUGCUUGCUUUCACCAACAAUUUGACCAGAUUUCUUUUUCUUGGUCUUCUUAAGAUUUUUGGGGAAAAAAAGUUCAUAUUCUCUAAUAACAGCACGAGCUUGUGCGCCUCCCACAUACAUAACCACAUUCAUUUGAGGAGCCCAAGUGGCAAACUCACGCUCCCAAUUUCUCAAUGUCGAAAGAGGUGCUAUUACUAAAUGUGGAGAGACCUUCUCU